Molecule: long non-coding RNA, 931 nt
Filed under: Olea europaea (common olive)
Lineage: Eukaryota; Viridiplantae; Streptophyta; Magnoliopsida; Lamiales; Oleaceae
Description: long non-coding RNA (OEUR_LNC002764)
Source: RNAcentral
AAAAGGAGGAGUGAGAGCGGCUUGAAACGCAGCAGUUGCAAUAAGCACAACUACUACGAGGAUAGCGUUUCGCAUAUCCCCUGACAAACCGAGAUCCAGGUAAGCACCAUAUUGGAGUAAAUAAUCUAUCAACCUCAUCUUUGGUUUCAAGUACGUUUCAAAAACGGUGGCUUCAUCUUGAAUAUGUAAAUAUUUGGCAAUGGCACGAUUGACAAGUGAUGAACCUUCUUUAUUUCCUGCGCUUAUUAAAAUUUUCCUUGCUUCUUCAUUUUCAGGUUUGAGGAUUUCCAAUGCCGUCUUACCUUCUAAGUUUUUCUUAUUCACAUGCACAAGCCCGAUUAAUGACUUCAUAACCUGAAACCAUAAACAAGCAGUCAUAUAAAAUUAUAAUUGAACAGAUAAAGUGUUUACUAAACAAUAAUUGGUUUAAAGAAAAAUGAGAACCAUUUUAUUUUAUUGAUUUUUAUUAAUUUCUGGUAUUUUUAAUUAAGCGAAUUUAUGUAUAAUGAUGUAUCGAUUUGAAAGAGUAUCAACUAUUGAGUGAAUGGAGUUUCGAUCAUGAUCACAAUCCCUUUCAAGUCAAUCCCUUUCAAGUUUUAGUUUGAUCUCGAGACAAGUUUGAUGUUUCCAGUCAAAUUUGUGGGUGUGAAAGGUGGAUUAGGACUUUGAUCCUUAAUGUUAUUUUUACAAAUUAUAGAAAGUUAGAAAAAGUCAAGUAAAAAAUUAUAGAUUUUGGAAAAAUGGAGUUUUUAGGCUCGGUUGCCCAUUAAUCAGCCAAAAUUUCAAUGAAUCGGUUAUACAAACUCGAUCUCCUGUUCUGCUUCAUUCAUUCUGCUUUUUCAUAAUCAUUUAAUUAUAGUUUAUUAUGUUUUACUUUAUUUAGUUGGCUACAGUUUCAAGCUAUCUUUUGAUUGUUAUUCUUCUAUUCCCU